GGGGGGGGGCGGCCUACCAUGCAAGUCGAGCGGAUGACGGGAGCUUGCUCCUUGAUUCAGCGGCGGACGGGUGAGUAAUGCCUAGGAAUCUGCCUGGUAGUGGGGGACAACGUUCCGAAAGGGGCGCUAAUACCGCAUACGUCCUACGGGAGAAAGUGGGGGAUCUUCGGACCUCACGCUAUCAGAUGAGCCUAGGUCGGAUUAGCUAGUUGGUGAGGUAAAGGCUCACCAAGGCGACGAUCCGUAACUGGUCUGAGAGGAUGAUCAGUCACACUGGAACUGAGACACGGUCCAGACUCCUACGGGAGGCAGCAGUGGGGAAUAUUGGACAAUGGGCGAAAGCCUGAUCCAGCCAUGCCGCGUGUGUGAAGAAGGUCUUCGGAUUGUAAAGCACUUUAAGUUGGGAGGAAGGGCAGUAAGUUAAUGCCCUGCUGUUUUGACGUUACCGACAGAAUAAG
This 458-nucleotide ribosomal RNA is filed under the name Pseudomonas putida. Its description in RNAcentral is "bacterial SSU rRNA". It matches the Rfam family "Bacterial small subunit ribosomal RNA", at positions 38 to 490 of the family's 1533-position model. Lineage: Bacteria; Pseudomonadati; Pseudomonadota; Gammaproteobacteria; Pseudomonadales; Pseudomonadaceae. The record is from RNAcentral.